This 2226-nucleotide long non-coding RNA is filed under the name Cicer arietinum (chickpea). RNAcentral's name for it is "long non-coding RNA (CARI_LNC000758)". Lineage: Eukaryota; Viridiplantae; Streptophyta; Magnoliopsida; Fabales; Fabaceae. The record is from RNAcentral.
AGUGAAGAAAGUGAGAGGAUUCUCUGCAAUGCUUACACACACUGAAGCUUCUGCUUUGUCCGGUAUUCUUUAAACCUUGAAGCUUUUUCUAACAAUUGUAAGUGUGAACCAAAUUAAAUUUAAAAAAAAAUUGAGAAACAGAAAUUAAUAAUAAUAAUUAUAUUAAUGAUCAUUAAGCUUUUAGUACAUUAAACUGACACUUCAUAGACAAUUAAGUAAACCAAUUAACUCAGCUGAACGUUUUUAUAUUGUAAGAGAAUUGAAUUAAGGAAAUUAAAUAAUGUUGUGGAAGUAUUUGUACUGUCUCCUUUAAGAUAUCUAUUAAGGCUACAUGAUUUUGUAAACUGGCAAAGAUGGUGUGGUGUCAGUGUUCCCAGAUCCAGUUCUUCAAUUGCACUCCUUGUGUAUACAAGAACCUCACUAUUCUUGUAAUAGAAACAACAGCUUCAAAUUAACAUUAUUAAAAGAUGUGAGACUGAUGCGAUUAGGUUAUUGCAUCAGCUUCAAAACCAGUAAAUUGAAGAAAAACAGAUCAAGUCUCAAAUCGUCACUCCUUCUUCAUGUACCGUUAUAAGGGAUGUUGCGUUAUCUCAUUGCAUUAGAUGUUUGAUUGUUGAGAUUAGGUUAUUUUAUUUUCAUUGGAAAUGAUAAUGUUUCAUUAGCGAAGUUAUUUGGAGUGAUUAUGAUAACAUACUUAGUGAAAUGAUUAAUUAUUGUGCUAUAUAUUCCUUAAAGUUGCAAAUUGGAUAUGCUGAGCAAACUCUCUUACUUGCAUUAGGCCAAGCUGCAGUGUACACUGAAGAACGUCCCUCCAACAACUUCCCCACUGCAGCUGAAUUGGCUUCAUCAGUUGCUGGUUUUGCUUGUCUUGGUUGGUAAUACAUUUUAUACUGAUUUUUUUUAAGCUUUCUUUCAUUCAUUAGUUAUUAUGAGUACCAAAACAAAUUGGAAUUUGUCCGUUGUUAUCGGCUAAUACUUUCUUUGUUGGAACUUGAGUGGUUUUAUUAUAUCAUUCCUCCAUUGAUUUCAGGUAUAUGAGGAAUGCAUGAUUAUCACAAUAAAUGUUAAGGAAUUCAUUCUAGUUUCUUUUGAAAAUUUAUUGAAUCUUUUAGAGCAAAAUAACUAUUUAUUGUAUGUAUUAAUAGAAUUAGUAAAAUUAAAUUAUAUUUUAUUGUAUGUUUCAAUGACAUUAAUUAAUAAAAAUAAAUUAGAAAUUUAAAUUUAAUCUACUGAUAAUAAUAGUUUAGAAUUACAAUUAGUAGGGAGAUAAAAUAAAUUUAAUUUAAUAAAUAAUAAUAAUAAGUUUUAGUGACAGACAUACCGUAGAAAUAGGAAUAGAUUAAUAUUUUUUUUAUAUUUUUCUAAGUUUUAGUGACAGAAAUAUUGUAGGAAUAGACUAAUUCUUUAUUUAUAUUUAUCUAGGUUUUAGUGACAGUCUUUAUUGUAGGUAGAAAUAAAAAACAUAUAGUGACAAUCCUCAGAACAUGUAGUGACAGUAUUCAAAGUGUAGCAGGACGCCCCCUUAAAGUUGACACUAGAUUUGAGUGUCACUCAAAGUAUUAUUGACUUUUACCUACAGUUUUUAACUUUUAGUGAAACAUUUUGGGUGUCACGAUAGGUCAAUUUUUUUGUAGUGACAUAUGCUUAUAGAAUUGCUGAAUUUGUGUACGUGAACUCGGUUCACGUAGGUAUUUGGGCUUGUUGAAUUUGCGUACGCGAACUGAGGUCACAUGGGUAUAUGGGCUUGCAUAUAAACCAGUUCACGUACGUUUCUAUGUUUUAAUUUUGAUUAUGAUAUGAUUAUGCAGAUAUGGUGCACACUAUAUUUACUGAUAGAGCAUAUCGAGUUAUAACUAAUGAUACAGCUGAUGAGGGUACUUCUAAUGAUGAGGGUCGUCGUGUUAGAUCAACUGCUUCUACACGGACUUAGCGUAUUGAGGAGCAGGAGGAAAUGUAACGGGAGAGGCGGGUGAGGCGACAACAACAACAAUUACAACAAGAGGCUCACCAUGAAGAGGAGACCCAACAGGAAGAGCAAACACAACAUGAGGCCCAACUUGAGCACAUAGAUGAACUAGUCCUAGCUGAUGGAUAUCUUGGUGGUCCGGUUGACAAGUAUGUCAUGAGGAUAUUUGGGGAUCAUGUGGCCACUCGAUCAUAUUAAAUUUUUAAUAGUUAUAUUCAUAAUGUGUUUUAACUUAUAUUUUUUCGCUUAUUUUAUUUCAG